UUUUUUUUUUUUUUUUUGUCUUUUUUUGUCUUUAUGACUUUUCUAGGGCUGCUUCUGUGGCAUAUGGAGGUUCUCAGGCUAGGGGGCGAAUCGGAGCCACAACUGCUGGCCUCUGCCACAGCCACAGCAACAUAGGAUCUGAGCGGCAUCUGCUACCUACACUGCAGCUCACAGCAACACUGGAUCCUUAACCCACUGAACAAGGCCAGGAAUCGAACUGGAAUCUUCAUGGAUACUAGUCCGAUUCAUUUCUACUGCACCACAACAGGAACUCUCUUUCCCACCAUCUUUUACUCUUUAUGUUUGUGAGCUGACACUUCUUGAUAAUUGUUCACAAACAUACAUUCUGAUGAAACUCAGAGCUUUCUGAAGUACUUGCUUGUCUGUGGCUUUUUAGGGGUUUUCCAAUAGCUGAGUGCUCUAGACUGCCCUACCUCCCUUCACUUCCCUGUUGGCAUGACUUCUUCCAGAUUCAGCCCAGUCUCUGGGAUGGUGUACUGGGUAUGACCAGAGAGAGACAAUGGGGGAACCAAAUUUCAGAGGACUUUCCAACAAAAAUCAAGAUGGUGGGGAUGGUUGCACACUGAGAUUGGACCUAAAAUAUUUGAUAAUCUCCAUCUAUUUUAGAGACCUCUUCCUUGAUCUUCUGAACCUUUGUCUUUCCAAAAGAGUAUCUCCUGUGAUGUAGCUGAUGGGGCAAGCAGGAAAUGACUAGGGCCUUGGUGAUGUGAAGCCCGAAGUAAUAUACAGAUUGAUGAUUGCUUAGAUUCUUGAAAAAACAGCCUACAACUAUCCUUUGAACUUCUACUAAGACUAUUUCCCACUUGUUACAAAGAGCCAGAUAAAUAGGAACUAAGUUUAGUAUGAAACCACCAAACAAAAAUCGACAAGAAAAUGCAGUGUCCAUGUUUCUAUACCUACAUUGGAACCACCUGACAAGCCAAUAAUAAUAAUUUCCCAAAGUUGCCUUUGGCAGGUCUAGCCCUGUUGCCUUAAGCAUGUUUCCCUCUUGAUGUCAUGCUGUCUCCUCUUUGGCAUUUUACUAGAUCUUGUGGGUUUCUGCCAAGGGCACCAGACAAGCUUUCUGUCAGGAGUUUUUCCAGGCUAGGAGCCAAAAAAGUGGCUUGGGGUUGUCCAGAACCUCCUUAACUGUUCUUUUCAGCCUGAUCAGUUAUAAUAGAGGUGGGAGGGUACAGGACACAAUGGCUUAAGUCAUCUAGUGGUUUGCUGACUCUUUAUAAAUAGACAAUAUAUAGGAAUCUUUAAGAAAAUGGUGGGUUUUUAAUGACAGCAUGCAGAGUAUGACUAGGAGGAAGAUUUUAAGAAUUGGUAAUGGGAAAUACCUUCCAAUCUGAUCUUUCUUCACCAAAAGAAGGAAAAUCUAGUUUUGCCGGUGGGAAAGCUCCAAUUGCAACCAGUAAUCAGCCUGAUAUUUGAGUCUCUAUGUUCAUUGUGGUUUUUGCAUGGUGUGAAGUCGGCUGGGCAUGCAUUGUAACACAGAUAUCCCACCGGAGCUCUCAGACCCAAGAUGGAAAGUUGAGCUGCCUAUCAGUAAGCAAUAUUUUUAAAAUCCUGGAGACUUUUCAUCAUGACGUCAUUUGGUUUCAGAGCUCAGAUUGCUUCCUAGCUGAUAUUCUUUCCAUCCAGAGUUACAACGUGCACCUUGUGGCGCUUUGGAAAUGCCUUGAGACUUUCACUCUAUUUUUACUUAUAAAUAGACUUCACUACCAUAUAAAUCAAUUUAAGAUUAAAUCUCCUCGUGUUAGUAUCCAAAAUAUUACCAUAAAUUGGAAUGUGAAAUAAGCUGGGAUGAGACCAAACUCAGCUGACACAAAAAAUAUCAACCAGCUAACAUACUGAUUCAGUUUAUUCAAUUAAAGUAAUUACCCACUUGGCUGGGUCAAUAUUUAUUUUUGCAAUUCCUUUUCGUCUAACUCGUGUUAAUUUGUUUAGAUUUCCAUUUUGUAUCAUUUCUUUUAGGGAGAUUAGAAGAUCAUUAUCCAUUGCAUCCUGGGA
This 2016-nucleotide long non-coding RNA is filed under the name Sus scrofa (pig). Its description in RNAcentral is "lncRNA (ENSSSCG00045004083.1)". The record is from RNAcentral. Lineage: Eukaryota; Metazoa; Chordata; Mammalia; Artiodactyla; Suidae.